Molecule: ribosomal RNA, 1449 nt
Filed under: uncultured organism
Description: SSU rRNA
Rfam family: Bacterial small subunit ribosomal RNA
Source: RNAcentral
GGAUGAACGCUAGCUACAGGCUUAACACAUGCAAGUCGAGGGGCAUCAGGAAGAAAGCUUGCUUUCUUUGCUGGCGACCGGCGCACGGGUGAGUAACACGUAUCCAACCUGCCCUUUACUCGGGGAUAGCCUUUCGAAAGAAAGAUUAAUACCCGAUAGCAUAAUGAUUCCGCAUGGUUUCAUUAUUAAAGGAUUCCGGUAAAGGAUGGGGAUGCGUUCCAUUAGGUUGUUGGUGAGGUAACGGCUCACCAAGCCUUCGAUGGAUAGGGGUUCUGAGAGGAAGGUCCCCCACAUUGGAACUGAGACACGGUCCAAACUCCUACGGGAGGCAGCAGUGAGGAAUAUUGGUCAAUGGGCGCUAGCCUGAACCAGCCAAGUAGCGUGAAGGAUGAAGGCUCUAUGGGUCGUAAACUUCUUUUAUAUAAGAAUAAAGUGCAGUAUGUAUACUGUUUUGUAUGUAUUAUAUGAAUAAGGAUCGGCUAACUCCGUGCCAGCAGCCGCGGUAAUACGGAGGAUCCGAGCGUUAUCCGGAUUUAUUGGGUUUAAAGGGAGCGUAGGUGGACUGGUAAGUCAGUUGUGAAAGUUUGCGGCUCAACCGUAAAAUUGCAGUUGAUACUGUCAGUCUUGAGUACAGUAGAGGUGGGCGGAAUUCGUGGUGUAGCGGUGAAAUGCUUAGAUAUCACGAAGAACUCCGAUUGCGAAGGCGGCUCACUGGACUGCAACUGACACUGAUGCUCGAAAGUGUGGGUAUCAAACAGGAUUAGAUACCCUGGUAGUCCACACAGUAAACGAUGAAUACUCGCUGUUUGCGAUAUACAGUAAGCGGCCAAGCGAAAGCAUUAAGUAUUCCACCUGGGGAGUACGCCGGCAACGGUGAAACUCAAAGGAAUUGACGGGGGCCCGCACAAGCGGAGGAACAUGUGGUUUAAUUCGAUGAUACGCGAGGAACCUUACCCGGGCUUAAAUUGCAGUGGAAUGAUGUGGAAACAUGUCAGUGAGCAAUCACCGCUGUGAAGGUGCUGCAUGGUUGUCGUCAGCCCGUGCCGUGAGGUGUCGGCUUAAGUGCCAUAACGAGCGCAACCCUUAUCUUUAGUUACUAACAGGUCAUGCUGAGGACUCUAGAGAGACUGCCGUCGUAAGAUGUGAGGAAGGUGGGGAUGACGUCAAAUCAGCACGGCCCUUACGUCCGGGGCUACACACGUGUUACAAUGGGGGGUACAGAAGGCAGCUAGCGGGUGACCGUAUGCUAAUCCCAAAAUCCUCUCUCAGUUCGGAUCGAAGUCUGCAACCCGACUUCGUGAAGCUGGAUUCGCUAGUAAUCGCGCAUCAGCCACGGCGCGGUGAAUACGUUCCCGGGCCUUGUACACACCGCCCGUCAAGCCAUGGGAGCCGGGGGUACCUGAAGUACGUAACCGCAAGGAUCGUCCUAGGGUAAAACUGGUGACUGGG